ACCAGAGAUUCAGUGAAAUUGUAGUGGAGGUGAAAAUUCCUCCUACCCGCGGCAAGACGGAAAGACCCCGUGGACCUUUACUACAACUUAGCACUGCUAACGGGAAUAUCAUGCGCAGGAUAGGUGGGAGGCUUUGAAGUAAGGGCUUUGGCUCUUAUGGAGCCAUCCUUGAGAUACCACCCUUGAUGUUUCUGUUAGCUA
RNAcentral lists this ribosomal RNA (201 nucleotides) under Helicobacter pylori. RNAcentral describes it as "partial 23S ribosomal RNA". It matches the Rfam family "Bacterial large subunit ribosomal RNA", at positions 2024 to 2224 of the family's 2925-position model. The record is from RNAcentral. Lineage: Bacteria; Pseudomonadati; Campylobacterota; Epsilonproteobacteria; Campylobacterales; Helicobacteraceae.